Molecule: transfer RNA, 73 nt
Filed under: Candidatus Cytomitobacter primus
Lineage: Bacteria; Pseudomonadati; Pseudomonadota; Alphaproteobacteria; Holosporales; Holosporaceae
Rfam family: tRNA
About the family: Transfer RNA (tRNA) molecules are approximately 80 nucleotides in length. Their secondary structure includes four short double-helical elements and three loops (D, anti-codon, and T loops).
Source: Rfam by way of RNAcentral
GCCCUUAUCGUCUAGAGGCCUAGGACGCCGCCCUUUCACGGCGGUAACACGGGUUCAAAUCCCGUUGAGGGUG